GAAAAGAUCAGUUGGGAUGAAAAAGAAAGGUCUAGUUUAAGCUCAAAUCAUUUGGAUAAAAGAAGAAUUAAUUUCAUUUGGUUUUCCUUUUAUUUAGGCUCAAAAUGGCUAUUAUUGAAUAAGAGUCUAUGGUUCUUUCCUAAUUGUUUAUUACAACUUACUUUUAGCACGACUAACCAGACAAGUUCUAGCUCAAUACAAAUAGUGGAUUAUCCAAAUCUUUCUCACACUUACUUGACAUCUCAUUACUCUACCAGAUUAUCACACACCUAGUUCGAAUUUUAGACUUAGCAUCAUGCAGUGGUGUACCUCUAUG
Molecule: unclassified non-coding RNA, 316 nt
Filed under: Hevea brasiliensis (rubber tree)
Lineage: Eukaryota; Viridiplantae; Streptophyta; Magnoliopsida; Malpighiales; Euphorbiaceae
Source: RNAcentral